AGUUGUAAUUUGUAGAGGAUGCUUUUGGCGCGGUGCCUUCCGAGUUCCCUGGAACGGGACGCCUUAGAGGGUGAGAGCCCCGUACGGUUGGACACCAAGCCUCUGUAAAGCUCCUUCGACGAGUCGAGUAGUUUGGGAAUGCUGCUCUAAAUGGGAGGUAAAUUUCUUCUAAAGCUAAAUAUUGGCCAGAGACCGAUAGCGCACAAGUAGAGUGAUCGAAAGAUGAAAAGCACUUUGAAAAGAGGGUUAAAUAGCACGUGAAAUUGUUGAAAGGGAAGCGUUUGCGACCAGACCUUUUCCUAGCGGAUCAUCCGGUGUUCUUCACCGGUGCACUUCGCUAGGUCGAGGCCAGCAUCGGUUUCUGCAGGGGGAUAAAAGCCCAGGGAACGUAGCUCUUUCGGGAGUGUUAUAGCCCUCCGCAUAAUACCCUUGCGGGGACCGAGGACCGCGCUUUUUGCAAGGAUGCUGGCGUAAUGGUCGUCAACGACCCGUC
RNAcentral lists this ribosomal RNA (493 nucleotides) under fungal endophyte sp. DM198. Its description in RNAcentral is "eukaryotic LSU rRNA". It matches the Rfam family "Eukaryotic large subunit ribosomal RNA", at positions 141 to 653 of the family's 3401-position model. Lineage: Eukaryota; Fungi. RNAcentral also lists the same sequence under 1 other name. The record is from RNAcentral.